GGAAGUAAAAGUCGUAACAAGGUCUCCGUAGGUGAACCUGCGGAGGGAUCAUUACAAGUGACCCCGGUUUGCCACCGGGAUGUUCAUAACCCUUUGUUGUCCGACUCUGUUGCCUCCGGGGCGACCCUGCCUUCGGGCAGGGGCUCCGGGUGGACACUUCAAACUCUUGCGUAACUUUGCAGUCUGAGUAAACUUAAUUAAUAAAUUAAAGCUUUUAACAACGGAUCUCUUGGUUCUGGCAUCGAUGAAGAACGCAGCGAAAUGCGAUAAGUAAUGUUAAUUGCAGAAUUCAGUGAAUCAUCGAAUCUUUGAACGCACAUUGCGCCCCCUGGUAUUCCGGGGGGCAUGCCUGUUCGAGCGUCAUUUCACCACUCAAGCCUCGCUUGGUAUUGGGCAACGCGGUCCGCCGCGUGCCUCAAAUCGACCGGCUGGGUCUUCUGUCCCCUAAGCGUUGUGGAAACUAUUCGCUAAAGGGUGUUCGGGAGGCUACGCCGUAAAACAACCCCAUUUCUAAGGUUGACCUCGGAUCAGGUAGGGAUACCCGCUGAACUUAAGCAUAUCAAUAAGCGGAGGA
This 574-nucleotide small RNA is filed under the name Cladosporium cladosporioides. RNAcentral describes it as "eukaryotic LSU rRNA". The stretch from base 210 to 363 matches the Rfam family "5.8S ribosomal RNA". The record is from RNAcentral. Lineage: Eukaryota; Fungi; Ascomycota; Dothideomycetes; Cladosporiales; Cladosporiaceae.